AUCCCAUUGUGAAGGCAUUUCUGUAACAAUUCAUUGAACCACUCUCAAGCCUCAUACAAGGAUUCAUCAUCAAGUUGUUGGAAUAUGGUGAUCUCAUUUCGAAGCUU
Non-coding RNA from Gossypium arboreum, 107 nucleotides. NCBI's taxonomy places the organism in Eukaryota, Viridiplantae, Streptophyta, Magnoliopsida, Malvales, Malvaceae. The record is from Rfam.